GUUAGGAAUCUUGCGCAAUGGGCGAAAGCCUGACGCAGCAACGCCGCGUGGGGGAUGAAUGCUCUCGGGUUGUAAACCCCUUUCAGCAGGGACGAUUAUGACGGUACCUGCAGAAGAAGGACCGGCCAACUACGUGCCAGCAGCCGCGGUAAUACGUAGGGUCCAAGCGUUGUCCGGAUUUAUUGGGCGUAAAGAGCUCGUAGGCGGUUCGGUAAGUCGGAUGUGAAAACUCAGGGCUCAACCCGGAGACGCCAUCCGAUACUGCUGUGACUUGAGUCUGGUAGGGGAACACGGAAUACCUGGUGUAGCGGUGAAAUGCGCAGAUAUCAGGUGGAACACCGAUGGCGAAGGCAGUGUUCUGGGCCAGUACUGACGCUGAGGAGCGAAAGCGUGGGGAGCAAACAGGAUUAGAUACCCCUGUAGUCC
Molecule: ribosomal RNA, 426 nt
Filed under: uncultured bacterium
Lineage: Bacteria
Description: bacterial SSU rRNA
Rfam family: Bacterial small subunit ribosomal RNA
Source: RNAcentral